GCUCGUAUGGCGCAAUUGGCUAGCGCGUCCGACUGUUAAUCGGGAGGUUACUGGUUCGAUCCCAGUUAUGAGCG
RNAcentral lists this transfer RNA (74 nucleotides) under Neoconidiobolus thromboides FSU 785. Its description in RNAcentral is "tRNA-Asn". It matches the Rfam family "tRNA". From Rfam's summary of the family: Transfer RNA (tRNA) molecules are approximately 80 nucleotides in length. Their secondary structure includes four short double-helical elements and three loops (D, anti-codon, and T loops). Lineage: Eukaryota; Fungi; Entomophthoromycota; Entomophthoromycetes; Entomophthorales; Neoconidiobolaceae. The record is from RNAcentral.